AAAACAUGUCUUUUUGUGGAAAUUGAAAGGUUUGAUCUGCCCACUGAUUGUUUAAAUGGCUGCGGUAAUUUGACCGUACAAAGGUAGCAUAAUCAUUAGUUUAUUAAUUGUGAACUUGUAUGAAUGAUUGGACGAGAAUAUAUCUGUUUCUUUUUUAGUUAAUGAAUUUUAUUUGUCUUUGAUAAAGAGGAUAUGUUUAUGAAAGACGAGAAGACCCUGUAGAGUUUUAUUGAAUGGCUUUGUUAGGUAUAUUUUUAGUUAUUAAUUUGGUUGGGGUAACUUAAAGUAUUAAAUGCUUUAUUUUUUAUUAUUGUUGGAUAAGUAUAAUGAGCUAAAAAUUAAUUGGUUGAUUAAAUUACCUCAGGGAUAACAGCAUAAUUUGAUUAAGGAGUUCUUAUCUAUAAUUUAGUUUGUGACCUCGAUGUUGGAUUAAGAAAAUUUUUUGGUGCAGGAGCUUAAAAAAUAAGUCUGUUCGACUUUUAAAUUCUUACGUGAUCU
Molecule: ribosomal RNA, 498 nt
Filed under: Brazilozoros sp.
Lineage: Eukaryota; Metazoa; Arthropoda; Insecta; Zoraptera; Spiralizoridae
Description: partial large subunit ribosomal RNA
Rfam family: Bacterial large subunit ribosomal RNA
Source: RNAcentral